UGGGGAAUAUUGCACAAUGGGCGCAAGCCUGAUGCAGCCAUGCCGCGUGUAUGAAGAAGGCCUUCGGGUUGUAAAGCACUUUCAGCGGGGAGGAAGGCGUUAAGGUUAAUAACCUUGGCGAUUGACGUUACCCGCAGAAGAAGCACCGGCUAACUCCGUGCCAGCAGCCGCGGUAAUACGGAGGGUGCAAGCGUUAAUCGGAAUUACUGGGCGUAAAGCGCACGCAGGCGGUUUGUUAAGUCAGAUGUGAAAUCCCCGGGCUCAACCUGGGAACUGCAUCUGAUACUGGCAAGCUUGAGUCUCGUAGAGGGGGGUAGAAUUCCAGGUGUAGCGGUGAAAUGCGUAGAGAUCUGGAGGAAUACCGGUGGCGAAGGCGGCCCCCUGGACGAAGACUGACGCUCAGGUGCGAAAGCGUGGGGAGCAAACAGG
RNAcentral lists this ribosomal RNA (429 nucleotides) under Chloroflexota bacterium. RNAcentral describes it as "Chloroflexi bacterium partial 16S ribosomal RNA". It matches the Rfam family "Bacterial small subunit ribosomal RNA", at positions 355 to 776 of the family's 1533-position model. The record is from RNAcentral. Lineage: Bacteria; Bacillati; Chloroflexota.